AUUAGGUUAGCAAAAUUAAUGUGCUUGAUUUAGGAUCAAGAGAUGGAAAGUUUCCACUUAAUA
Molecule: transfer RNA, 63 nt
Filed under: Arctica islandica
Lineage: Eukaryota; Metazoa; Mollusca; Bivalvia; Venerida; Arcticidae
Description: tRNA-Leu
Source: RNAcentral